This 77-nucleotide transfer RNA is filed under the name Oscillospiraceae bacterium. Its description in RNAcentral is "tRNA-His". It matches the Rfam family "tRNA". From Rfam's summary of the family: Transfer RNA (tRNA) molecules are approximately 80 nucleotides in length. Lineage: Bacteria; Bacillati; Bacillota; Clostridia; Eubacteriales; Oscillospiraceae. The record is from RNAcentral.
GUGGCUGUAGCUCAGUUGGUUAGAGUACCAGGUUGUGGCCCUGGGGGUCGCCGGUUCGAGCCCGGUUAGCCACCCCA